AAGCAGGCUGGACCAAGUGUCUGCCUCUUUUCAUGUCCAUUGCUGCUGCUGCUGGAGUCGGUUCCACAUGGCACACAAGUGUGAAAUUGACCUGCCCGUCCUUAUUUCGUGUCCUGCAGGACGGAGGAGCAGGCGGUGAUGGAAUUGGAGGGGACUUCAUCACGGUGCUUACACCUAUCACAUCCCCUCACAUCAUCAAAUGAAAAAUGAAUGGGUGCACUUAAAAAACUGUGCUGUGAUGGUGGUGAGCGGUACGGAUCUGUAUUAAGCUGGAAAAAGGAAGAAGCAGAUCAUUAACUGGUGGGCUGCCUGCCAUUGCUGCAUUACUGGCUCUUCAAUCUCAAGGUGUGGUCACAAGCCAAGGUCAAAGGGUCUCUGGUGUCCCCUCCGAGCGUGUGAAUGAUGGACCCCUCCCGCCCGGGCCUGGAUUAGGUGGAGGGCACAGAGUUGAUACGCUGCAGCUUUUUCAUCUCACGGCAGGGUGAAAGGUAAGGCUCUGAGUAAGAUUUAAGAUGAUGAAUUCAGCAGUCUGUGCGGAUAAGGUUUGAC
Epinephelus fuscoguttatus (brown-marbled grouper) is the source of this 549-nucleotide long non-coding RNA. RefSeq lists it as uncharacterized. The record is from RefSeq and is a predicted model, not a curated record. The transcript has 3 exons. NCBI's taxonomy places the organism in Eukaryota, Metazoa, Chordata, Actinopteri, Perciformes, Serranidae.